Molecule: non-coding RNA, 227 nt
Filed under: Bacillus sp. (in: firmicutes)
Lineage: Bacteria; Bacillati; Bacillota; Bacilli; Caryophanales; Bacillaceae
Description: Bacillus sp. T-box sequence
Rfam family: T-box leader
About the family: Uncharged tRNA acts as the effector for transcription antitermination of genes in the T-box leader family. T-boxes are found upstream of many aminoacyl-tRNA synthetase genes and some amino acid biosynthetic genes usually in Gram-positive bacteria. The anticodon of a specific tRNA base pairs to a specifier sequence within the T-box motif, and the NCCA acceptor tail of the tRNA base pairs to a conserved bulge in the T-box antiterminator hairpin.
Source: RNAcentral
UGAAGAACUAUGAUAAGGAGCAGUAGCGGUUAGAACCUGUUAUAGAGAGUUGGCGGAUGGUGCAAGCCAAUCAGGAGAGAUCGUGAACUCGCCUUGGAGUUCCAGGCAUGAAGCAUUUAUUAGUGUCUGGCGUUUAUCCGCGUUAAGGAAUUUAAGCUGGGCGAGUUUUAUUUCGCCAAUGUGGGUGGUACCGCGGGAAGAUCAUACAUAAUCCUCUCGUCCCUUUU